UACGUAGGUGGCAAGCGUUAUCCGGAUUUAUUGGGCGUAAAGGGAACGCAGGCGGUCUUUUAAGUCUGAUGUGAAAGCCUUCGGCUUAACCGGAGUAGUGCAUUGGAAACUGGGAGACUUGAGUGCAGAAGAGGAGAGUGGAACUCCCUGUGUAGCGGUGAAAUGCGUAGAUAUAUGGAAGAACACCAGUGGCGAAAGCGGCUCUCUGGUCUGUAACUGACGCUGAGGUUCGAAAGCGUGGGUAGCAAACAGG
RNAcentral lists this ribosomal RNA (253 nucleotides) under uncultured bacterium. RNAcentral describes it as "partial 16S ribosomal RNA". It matches the Rfam family "Bacterial small subunit ribosomal RNA", at positions 524 to 776 of the family's 1533-position model. The record is from RNAcentral.